RNAcentral lists this microRNA (21 nucleotides) under Caenorhabditis brenneri. RNAcentral's name for it is "cbn-miR-7626". The record is from miRBase by way of RNAcentral. Lineage: Eukaryota; Metazoa; Nematoda; Chromadorea; Rhabditida; Rhabditidae.
UGGAGGUACCCUUUACUCUGA